Long non-coding RNA from Anas platyrhynchos (mallard), 2666 nucleotides. RefSeq lists it as uncharacterized. The record is from RefSeq and is a predicted model, not a curated record. Lineage: Eukaryota; Metazoa; Chordata; Aves; Anseriformes; Anatidae.
AAUCAGCAGUGCAGAUGUCUCUUUCAAUUUUACUGGAUUCUUUUUCAAGCUGGAGUAACAACUCUGCAAGGUACUCAAGGUGUAGGAACAUCAGAAGCUCCUGUCAUAACAAUGUUCUCUCUCUUUUUUUUUUUUUUUUUUUUAUAGGCUUCACUCAGAAGGAAUGUAGAGUCACUGUCAAAACAUACAGAGAUAGGCUUAGAGAAGCCAAAGCCCAUCUCAGCUGAAUCUGGUGAGAGAUGUGAAGAGCAACAGGAAAGUUUUACAGGAAUAUCAGCAGCAAAAGGAAGAUCAGGCCAAAUCUGGGCCCACUGAUGAGUUGGGCAAGAGAGCUGGUGACAAAAUCUGUGGAGAAGACCAAGGUCUAUUGUUUCUUCAAUUCAGUCUUUAAUGGUGAGAUUUGCAUUCAGGAAUCUUGGGCCCAUUCAGACCAAUGGGAAGUUUGGAGUGAGGAUAACUUACCUUUGGUAGAGGAAGGAAGAGGUUAGGGAACACCCAUACAAACAGGACACACACAACAAGUUCAUGGGACCUGAUGGAGUGCACCCACAAACUCUGGGGGACCUGGCCAAUGUCACUGUGAGGUCAAGGUAAUAUCUGAAAGUUGUGGCUAGUGAGGGAAGCUUCUGAGGAGUGGAAGAAGAAAAAUGUCUCUGCUAUCUGCAAGAUCAUCAGAAAGGAGGAUCUGGGAAACUACAAGGCAGUCAACCUCACCUCAGCCCCUUGGGAAGUGGUGGAAUGAAUAACCCUGGAAAUGAAUCCAAGUGCAUGAAGGACAAGAAGUCAUUCAUCUGCUGCAAAUAUCUCAUACAGCGUUCAAAGAGCCUCUUUCUAUGCUUCACUUAACCCAGCUGCCAAAUAUUUGUCUGCCUGUCAAACGAACAGCCUUUAAACCAGUUAAAGACAGAAAAUGGAACAACAGCAACAAAAGUCCACUGGCUUCUGUCCCAGUACGCCGUCAGCUCAGGAUGCCGUGGGACAAUUUGAUAGCAGAGGCACCAUCCGACCUGGAUUUGUCGGCGCACGAGGCUGAGUUGUUGCGCUCCCUACCCAGCCUGGCGUUCAAUAGCCCGAGUGUUCGGCAGAGCAGGGAGGUGACUGCAUUCGCCUUUGCAGGGCACCUGGGAUAAUAGGGAAAUGGGAAAAGUAGUUGCAUAUACAUUUGUGCCAGCCAGAACAAAGUGGCUGGCUCUACCUCACACCAGGAAUAUUUCACAAGAGCGUGUUUGAAGCAGUUCUUCCUCUGAAUGCAUCAGGGACUCUCAGAAAGGAAAUGUACCUGCUGCAAGUUUGCAGAAAGGAGGCCACUGAUAGAGCAAAGUACAGGCUGGGUGGUCUUAGAAACAUCUUCAAACAAACGAAACUAUUGAAAGAUGAUGUAAUAUAAGUAUUUUGUGCUUGAAAGAAAAACCUGAGAUCAUAAUGCCGAAAAAAACUACAGGUAUUGGUAUUUAUUUUUUCAGGGGGCAUUGCUACCAUAUUCAAAAACACCAAUGUAUAUUACAAAAAUUAACUUGACUUGCCUAAAAAUUGAAUAUUCUUGACCACCACCUUCUUUUGUCCUAAUGCUAUUUUUACCUCGGUUUUAAACAAGUAGGUGAUUCUGCUCCCCUUGGAAAACCUCUUGUUAGAGUUUUCUCUGUGCGUGGAGGUGGAGAUGUUUGGGAUGGAAGAGUGAUCGUGUGCACUCAGGUAGAGUUGUUCUUGCUACAAUUUAAGUGAUUGAUGCAGGGGGGGAUGUAUUUUCUACUUUAUAUAGCAUUUUUAUAAUACAUUUCCUGGGAUAAUAAAGAAGCAAUAUUCUGUAACAGUGAUGUUUUACAGGCUGGUGUGAAAGGAAACGUACAAGCCAUGUUUUCAUUACAAGGCAAAUAGGAACUUUGGCUGUGUAUUUAGGUCAAAGACAAGCUUUAAUAGACUUACCUCGCUCUCGUGUAAGUUCCCCUAAACAGGAUGGUCAAGUCUGCUGUGAAACGACACGAGAAACUCUACAGUUGUUGUUCCUGCCCCCCAACCACAACCUCAUAAUUUCCAAGUAGUAGGCUGCAGCUGCCGCUUUGCCACGUUAGCUUUAUAAGAAGUUAGCAAGGCCUUUGAAACCCAAACUUCUUAAUAUUUGAUGCCUCUUGGAUCGCUUUCAUGUUACGGCGUGGAUCUGUCCAGCUGUUCUGAACCAUCAGUGUAAUGAUUUCCUCAGCAGCUAUUAAUUCCUGUUGCUAAAGCACAUCUUUAACACCAAAGGUAUCUCAUUUAGUUCCAGGUUCUAAGUUUUACAUUAUUCCUCUUUCUGUCGGUUUUUGAGUAAUUAUACUUCACUAGUUCACACAGGGUCAGGUCACAACAGGAGACACUACUGAAUUUGGCUUUAGUUUUUCCUUUACAGAUGGUAGGGUUGGGAAGGGCAGCUCUUCACAAGCCACGCAGAAGUCAGCCUGAUGCUGGGUUGUAAUCUAAAUAAAACUAUGAGAUGCAACCACUCUCCUUCUCUAAUAGUCCUGGACAAUCAUGAUGCCCAUUCCCUCCUUGCUUUAUAUCCCCUCUUCAUCUGUAGAGAGCAUUUUCUAAAAUUUUUCCAGUGCUUGCAAGCAUUCAUCAUCCGAAAAACAGGUGAUUCAGGAAUAUCGCAAGGAGGAAAUGCACCUUGAAGGGAUGAAUAAAAACUUCAG